RNAcentral lists this ribosomal RNA (252 nucleotides) under uncultured bacterium. RNAcentral describes it as "partial 16S ribosomal RNA". It matches the Rfam family "Bacterial small subunit ribosomal RNA", at positions 100 to 354 of the family's 1533-position model. The record is from RNAcentral.
CGGGGUGAGUAACGCGUGGAAAACCUGCCGUAUACUGGGGGAUAACACUUAGAAAUAGGUGCUAAUACCGCAUAAGCGCACAGCUUCGCAUGAAGCAGUGUGAAAAACUCCGGUGGUAUACGAUGGUUCCGCGUCUGAUUAGCUAGUUGGUGAGGUAAAAGCCUACCAAGGCAACGAUCAGUAGCCGGCCUGAGAGGGUGAACGGCCACAUUGGGACUGAGACACGGCCCAGACUCCUACGGAAGGCAGCAG